RNAcentral lists this ribosomal RNA (459 nucleotides) under uncultured bacterium. Its description in RNAcentral is "partial 16S ribosomal RNA". It matches the Rfam family "Bacterial small subunit ribosomal RNA", at positions 339 to 795 of the family's 1533-position model. The record is from RNAcentral.
CUACGGGGGGCUGCAGUAAGGAAUAUUGGUCAAUGGACGCAAGUCUGAACCAGCCAUGCCGCGUGGAGGAUGAAGGUCCUCUGGAUUGUAAACUUCUUUUCUCUGGGACGAAACCCCCGAUUUCCAUCGGGCCUGACGGUACCAGAGGAAUAAGCACCGGCUAACUCCGUGCCAGCAGCCGCGGUAAUACGGAGGGUGCAAGCGUUAUCCGGAUUCACUGGGUUUAAAGGGUGCGUAGGCGGGUUUGUAAGUCAGUGGUGAAAUCCCCGAGCUUAACUUGGGAACUGCCAUUGAUACUGCAGAUCUUGAAUUUUCUGGAGGUAAGCGGAAUAUGUCAUGUAGCGGUGAAAUGCUUAGAUAUGACAUAGAACACCCAUUGCGAAGGCAGCUUACUACGGGAAUAUUGACGCUGAGGCACGAAAGCGUGGGGAUCAAACAGGAUUAGAUACCCGAGUAGUC